UCUUCUUUCUUCCUCCCUUAUCGCGUCUCCUCCUUCACUCUCACUUCUCUCAAACCUAAUCUAGAAGGUUCACUAAAGAUUUAGCAACCAAUCUGUACUCAUUUCAUUCUUGUGCUGAAAGAUUGCACUUAGCCAAAUCCCCCUUCUUCAAUCUUGGCAGUUUACACAUCGUCAACGAUUUGAACCAAAAAACCCCAAAUCCAUAGCCUACGGAUGCUUGGAUCUCAAUUGCAAUACAAAAACAGAGUCGUUCUGUGAGGUUAUAAGAUCAUUCUACAGUAUAAAAUGACAGAGAAAUGCAUCCAAACACAAGCCAUAGGGUGGAGUUGAGAAGCAAGAACAAAUUGUCCUGCCAUGAGAGCUGCUGCUAAAUUCAAUUGCCCAAGAAGUUGAAUUGUAUUUAUGUUGUGUUUACCAUGUAACCUUGGCUAUAUAUAUACACAAAGGAGUGUAGAAUCAAGUAGUACACUAAUAGGGUAAGAGGGUAAGUAAGACACUAAUAGCUUUGAAAGACUUUUCUCCAAAACCAUACGGCACAUUCAGAGCAAAAAACGCUGACAUGCCUCGAAAAUAGGAAUAGUUUCUAAAAUAUUACACGCAACUUUUGCGAGAUGGCAGAACUGGAAUAGUUUCUAACAAUUACCUAAAACGCUGCGUUUUCAAUUCCUUGGGCAGGCAGUAAUGUAUCUUGUAUCCUUUAGAAGUGUUUUCUCUCUUAUAAUAUGACAUAACUUUAAAAACA
Molecule: long non-coding RNA, 742 nt
Organism: Ipomoea nil (Japanese morning glory)
Lineage: Eukaryota; Viridiplantae; Streptophyta; Magnoliopsida; Solanales; Convolvulaceae
Exons: 2
Source: RefSeq, a predicted model, not a curated record